GACGUAGGGCGCGAGCGUUGUCCGGAUUUAUUGGGCGUAAAGAGCUCGUAGGCGGCUUGUCGCGUCGUCCGUGAAAACUUGGGGCUCAACCCCAAGCUUGCGGUCGAUACGGGCAGGCUAGAGUUCGGUAGGGGGAGACUGGAAUUCCUGGUGUAGCGGUGAAAUGCGCAGAUAUCAGGAAGAACACCGAUGGCGAAGGCAGUGGGCUGGGCCGGUACUGACGCUGAGGAGCGAAAGCGUGGGGGAGCGAACAGG
RNAcentral lists this ribosomal RNA (255 nucleotides) under uncultured bacterium. RNAcentral's name for it is "partial 16S ribosomal RNA". It matches the Rfam family "Bacterial small subunit ribosomal RNA", at positions 524 to 776 of the family's 1533-position model. The record is from RNAcentral.